Molecule: non-coding RNA, 45 nt
Organism: Trichobilharzia regenti
Lineage: Eukaryota; Metazoa; Platyhelminthes; Trematoda; Strigeidida; Schistosomatidae
Source: Rfam
ACCCAGAUGACGAGUCCCAAGUAGGACGAAACGAGCAUCUUGGAU